This is a long non-coding RNA of Ipomoea nil (Japanese morning glory), 735 nucleotides long. RefSeq lists it as uncharacterized. Lineage: Eukaryota; Viridiplantae; Streptophyta; Magnoliopsida; Solanales; Convolvulaceae. The record is from RefSeq and is a predicted model, not a curated record. The transcript has 3 exons.
ACUCAGCAGCAAUUCUUGGGGACUUGGCUGAGCCUCCCAUGCAUUCUUUGACAUGUUGCCUUUUUGUCGAACCCGACAAAGUACCCAAUCAUCCAACUGCAACGAAUUAUAAUAGGUUCUUGUAAGAUGGUCAAAUUCUCAGACAAUUCAUACUAAUAUUUAUUUAUUUUGAGAGAAGUUGUGGUUCAUACUAUAACAACACAGUUCGUAUCAUUGUUGUGUUUCAUAUUUGUCUCUCUUGUGCUUUAUUUGUUGGUUUUCUUGAUUGUACAUGCAGUCUCUGGCCUAAGUUUCUGUUGGAAGAGCAGAUGGAGGAGGAGGAUCAAGUAACUCUAUGCUCUUAGACCAGCAGUGUUAUUUGGUUAACAUAUUCAGGAUGACAUGUUGAUCAUGCUUUUGUGAUAUAUCCUACAAUGGCUUCUCCUGGGUAAAAAGUUUCUUGGAUAUCCACUUAUGAUUGAUGCAAACUGUAGUUAGAAUCUGUUGAUGCUGCAAGAGUCAAGGGACUACUGGCUCAGUGAUGCAUUAGAAUAGUUAUUUUCACAGCUGGAUAAAGAGAGCUUUCUUCUUCUACAACGUUUUAAAACGAUGAUUUCCAUGCUCCAGCUUGUCUAUAUGCCUUUAUUAUCUGGCCUGCCUACUGGUCAGUAAUGAUCCCUCUUGAAUUUUAUCUUGUUUAUAUGUUUAUUAUCACCCAAUAAGGGUAGAAAUCUUGGGUCCUUACUGCAACCAUUU